This is a long non-coding RNA of Corapipo altera (White-ruffed manakin), 484 nucleotides long. RefSeq lists it as uncharacterized. The transcript is spliced from 3 exons. Lineage: Eukaryota; Metazoa; Chordata; Aves; Passeriformes; Pipridae. The record is from RefSeq and is a predicted model, not a curated record.
GGAAUCUAGAGCAGCUGAAAAUUGAAAUAAAAGCAAACCUGUGCUGGUUGGUGUCACCUGGGCCCUGCUCUCUGUCCUGCACAUCGACUCUAUCCGUGGAUUAGGCUUAAACCAGAGAGAACGAGGCGUUAAGGCAGAAUUGGGGUUGUUUUGACGUCACCUGAUUCCAUCAUAGAAGGUGCUGUAGGAGAUCAACGUGCUGGAAAACUUCCAACAAAAUGGUCUGAAAGGUUUUUAUGGGUGGUGAGAUGUUCCAGUGCUUGGAUCAAUGUGUUUCAUUAAAUGUCGGGAAGGAGUGGAUUCUUUUUUUUUUUGUUGUUUGCUUGGGUUAUUUUAAGUUGCUGUAAUUAUAAGUCAGCAGACCUGAUCCAGGUGAGAGAAAAUCAUGUGAUGGUUUGGGUUGGAGGAGACUUUAAAGCUCAUCUCAUUCCACUCCCUGCCACGGGCAGGGACACCUUCCCACUAUCCCAGGUUGCCCCAAGCC